Molecule: ribosomal RNA, 1718 nt
Filed under: human metagenome
Description: bacterial LSU rRNA
Rfam family: Bacterial large subunit ribosomal RNA
Source: RNAcentral
UUACAAUCAUUCAGAGCACUAUGUGGGUCUGUUUGAAUAUUAAGGACGGCUUGUCUUUUGGCGAUAAAUUAAUGAGUUCGAUUUUUUCUCAAUCGAUAGGCUAAAAGCCUUAUCUCAAUCGAAAAAAUCUUCACAACAUUAAUUUCUCAUCCAAAAUACUUCGCUUUCUAUAUUCAAAUUUUAAAGAUUUCGAACUUUGUUAAUUUUAAAAUUUUCUUAGAAUUUUAAAAUCCCAACUUAGAUAUUUAAAAUUUAACAACCAAGAAGCGAAGAAAGACAAACAAAACUUUAAGACAUCGGAUAAAUUCUUAAAUAUCUUAAGUUUUAAAUUUGAACAAAGCCGCAAGAAAAGUAUAAAUCAUUAAGUGCAAGUGGUAGGAGAGCGUUCCAAUCAGCGUCGAAGCCGUACCGGUAAGGAGCGGUGGAGCGGUUGGAAGUGAGCAUGCAGGCAUGAGUAGCGAUAAAAUACGUGAGAAUCGUAUUCGCCGUAAACCCAAGGUUUCCUACGCGAUGCUCGUCAUCGUAGGGUUAGUCGGGUCCUAAGCAAAGUCCGAAAGGGGUAUGCGAUGGAAAAUCGGUUAAUAUUCCGAUACCGAUAUCAGUGUGCGACGGAAGGACGCUUAAAGUUAGUGGAGCUAGCGGAUGGAAGUGCUAGUCUAAGGAAGUAGGUUGAGUUAUAGGCAAAUCCGUAACUCUUUAUCCGAGAUCUGAAAGGCUUCUGACGCUCUUCGGAGUAGAUGAAGAAUCCAUGAUACUAUCGAGCCGAGAAAAGUUUCUAAGUUUAGCUGAUAUCGCCCGUACCGUAAACCGACACAGGUGGGUGGGAUGAGUAUUCUAAGGCGCGUGGAAGAACUCUCUUUAAGGAACUCUGCAAAAUAGCACCGUAUCUUCGGUAUAAGGUGUGCCUAGCUUCGUUAAGAAUUUACUUCGUAAGCGAAGAAGGUUACAACAAAGAGUCCCUCCCGACUGUUUACCAUAAACACAGCACUCUGCUAACUCGUAAGAGGAUGUAUAGGGUGUGACGCCUGCCCGGUGCUCGAAGGUUAAUUGAUGAUGUUAGCUUAUGCAAAGCAUCUGAUCGAAGCCCGAGUAAACGGCGGCCGUAACUAUAACGGUCCUAAGGUAGCGAAAUUCCUUGUCGGUUAAAUACCGACCUGCAUGAAUGGCGUAACGAGAUGGGAGCUGUCUCAAAGAGGGAUCCAGUGAAAUUGUAGUGGAGGUGAAAAUUCCUCCUACCCGCGGCAAGACGGAAAGACCCCGUGGACCUUUACUAUAGCUUGAUACUGCUAUUGGGAUAAAAAUGUGCAGGAUAGGUGGGAGGCUUUGAUCCAUAGACGCUAGUUUAUGGUGAGCCAUCGUUGAGAUACCACUCUUUUUUAUUUUGAUAGCUAACUAGCCUAAGUUAUCCUUAGGUAGGACAAUGUCUGGUGGGUAGUUUGACUGGGGCGGUCGCCUCCCAAAAUGUAACGGAGGCUUACAAAGGUUGGCUCAAAGCGGUUGGAAAUCGCUUGUAGAGUAUAAAGGCAAAAGCCAGCUUAACUGCGAGACAUACACGUCGAGCAGAGACGAAAGUCGGUCUUAGUGAUCCGGUGGUUCUGUGUGGAAGGGCCAUCGCUCAAAGGAUAAAAGGUACCCCGGGGAUAACAGGCUGAUCUCCCCCAAGAGCUCACAUCGACGGGGAGGUUUGGCACCUCGAUGUCGGCUCAUCGCAUCCUGGG